AACGCACAUUGCGCCCCUUGGUAUUCCGAGGGAGCAUGCCUGUUCGAGCGUCAUUACUAACCCCUCAAGCUCUAGCUUGGUAUUGGGGCCCUGCCAUCCUCGGCAGCCCUAAAAUCAGUGGCGGUGCCCAUCCGGCUCCUAAGCGUAGUAAUUCUUUCUCGCUCUGGAGUCCCUGGCUGCGAUGCUUCGCCAUUCAAUCCAUUUUAACUUCUAUGGUUGACCUCGGAUCAGGUAGGGAUACCCGCUGAACUUAA
Molecule: unclassified non-coding RNA, 254 nt
Filed under: Tubulicrinis sp.
Lineage: Eukaryota; Fungi; Basidiomycota; Agaricomycetes; Hymenochaetales; Tubulicrinaceae
Description: partial contains 5.8S ribosomal RNA, internal transcribed spacer 2, and large subunit ribosomal RNA
Source: RNAcentral